GGUUAAGCGACUAAGCGUACACGGUGGAUGCCCUGGCAGUCAGAGGCGAUGAAGGACGUGCUAAUCUGCGAAAAGCGUCGGUAAGGUGAUAUGAACCGUUACAGCCGGCGAUGUCCGAAUGGGGAAACCCAGUGCAAUUCGUUGCACUAUCGUUAACUGAAUACAUAGGUUAACGAGGCGAACCGGGGGAACUGAAACAUCUAAGUACCCCGAGGAAAAGAAAUCAACCGAGAUUCCCCCAGUAGCGGCGAGCGAACGGGGAGCAGCCCGGAGUCUGAAUCAGCUUGUGUGUUAGUGGAAGCGUCUGGAAAGUCGCAGGGUACAGGGUGAUACUCCCGUACACUAAAACGCACAGGUUGUGAACUCGAAGAGUAGGGCGGGACACGUGGUAUCCUGUCUGAAUAUGGGGGGACCAUCCUCCAAGGCUAAAUACUCCUGACUGACCGAUAGUGAACCAGUACCGUGAGGGAAAGGCGAAAAGAACCCCGGCGAGGGGAGUGAAAAAGAACCUGAAACCGUGUACGUACAAGCAGUAGGAGCCCACUAGUUGGGUGACUGCGUACCUUUUGUAUAAUGGGUCAGCGACUUAUAUUCUGUAGCAAGGUUAACCGUAUAGGGGAGCCGCAGGGAAACCGAGUCUUAACUGGGCGUUAAGUUGCAGGGUAUAGACCCGAAACCCGGUGAUCUAGCCAUGGGCAGGUUGAAGGUUGGGUAACACUAACUGGAGGACCGAACCGACUAAUGUUGAAAAAUUAGCGGAUGACUUGUGGCUGGGGGUGAAAGGCCAAUCAAACCGGGAGAUAGCUGGUUCUCCCCGAAAGCUAUUUAGGUAGCGCCUCGUGAAUUCAUCUUCGGGGGUAGAGCACUGUUUCGGCUAGGGGGUCAUCCCGACUUACCAACCCGAUGCAAACUACGAAUACCGAAGAAUGUUAUCACGGGAGACACACGGCGGGUGCUAACGUCCGUCGUGAAGAGGGAAACAACCCAGACCGCCAGCUAAGGUCCCAAAGUCAUGGUUAAGUGGGAAACGAUGUGGGAAGGCCCAGACAGCCAGGAUGUUGGCUUAGAAGCAGCCAUCAUUUAAAGAAAGCGUAAUAGCUCACUGGUCGAGUCGGCCUGCGCGGAAGAUGUAACGGGGCUAAACCAUGCACCGAAGCUGCGGCAGCGACACUAUGUGUUGUUGGGUAGGGGAGCGUUCUGUAAGCCGUUGAAGGUGGCCUGUGAGGGUUGCUGGAGGUAUCAGAAGUGCGAAUGCUGACAUAAGUAACGAUAAUGCGGGUGAAAAACCCGCACGCCGGAAGACCAAGGGUUCCUGUCCAACGUUAAUCGGGGCAGGGUGAGUCGACCCCUAAGGCGAGGCCGAAAGGCGUAGUCGAUGGGAAACAGGUUAAUAUUCCUGUACUUGGUGUUACUGCGAAGGGGGGACGGAGAAGGCUAUGUUGGCCGGGCGACGGUUGUCCCGGUUUAAGCAUGUAGGCGGAUGUUCCAGGUAAAUCCGGAGCGUCACUAACGCUGAGGUGUGAUGACGAGGCACUACGGUGCUGAAGUGACAAAUGCCCUGCUUCCAGGAAAAGCCUCUAAGCAUCAGGUAACAUCAAAUCGUACCCCAAACCGACACAGGUGGUCAGGUAGAGAAUACCAAGGCGCUUGAGAGAACUCGGGUGAAGGAACUAGGCAAAAUGGUGCCGUAACUUCGGGAGAAGGCACGCUGAUGGUAGGUGAAGUGACUUGCUCAUGGAGCUGAAAUCAGUCGAAGAUACCAGCUGGCUGCAACUGUUUAUUAAAAACACAGCACUGUGCAAACACGAAAGUGGACGUAUACGGUGUGACGCCUGCCCGGUGCCGGAAGGUUAAUUGAUGGGGUUAUCCUCGCGGAGAAGCUCUUGAUCGAAGCCCCGGUAAACGGCGGCCGUAACUAUAACGGUCCUAAGGUAGCGAAAUUCCUUGUCGGGUAAGUUCCGACCUGCACGAAUGGCGUAAUGAUGGCCAGGCUGUCUCCACCCGAGACUCAGUGAAAUUGAACUCGCUGUGAAGAUGCAGUGUACCCGCGGCAAGACGGAAAGACCCCGUGAACCUUUACUAUAGCUUGACACUGAACACUGGUCCUUGAUGUGUAGGAUAGGUGGGAGGCUUUGAAGUGUGGACGCCAGUCUGCAUGGAGCCAUCCUUGAAAUACCACCCUUUAAUGGCUGGUGUUCUAACGUGGGCCCCUAAUCGGGGUUGCGGACAGUGUCUGGUGGGUAGUUUGACUGGGGCGGUCUCCUCCUAAAGAGUAACGGAGGAGCACGAAGGUCAGCUAAUCCUGGUCGGACAUCAGGAGGUUAGUGCAAUGGCAUAAGCUGGCUUGACUGCGAGCGUGACGGCGCGAGCAGGUGCGAAAGCAGGUCAUAGUGAUCCGGUGGUUCUGAAUGGAAGGGCCAUCGCUCAACGGAUAAAAGGUACUCCGGGGAUAACAGGCUGAUACCGCCCAAGAGUUCAUAUCGACGGCGGUGUUUGGCACCUCGAUGUCGGCUCAUCACAUCCUGGGGCUGAAGUAGGUCCCAAGGGUAUGGCUGUUCGCCAUUUAAAGUGGUACGCGAGCUGGGUUUAGAACGUCGUGAGACAGUUCGGUCCCUAUCUGCCGUGGGCGCUGGAGAAUUGAGGGGGGCUGCUCCUAGUACGAGAGGACCGGAGUGGACGCAUCACUGGUGUUCGGGUUGUCAUGCCAAUGGCAUUGCCCGGUAGCUAAAUGCGGAAGAGAUAAGUGCUGAAAGCAUCUAAGCACGAAACUUGCCCCGAGAUGAGUUCUCCCUGACUCCUUGAGAGUCCUGAAGGAACGUUGAAGACGACGACGUUGAUAGGCCGGGUGUGUAAGCGCAGCGAUGCGUUGAGCUAACCGGUACUAAUGAACCGUGAGGCUUAACCUU
RNAcentral lists this ribosomal RNA (2906 nucleotides) under Klebsiella oxytoca. RNAcentral describes it as "23S ribosomal RNA". It matches the Rfam family "Bacterial large subunit ribosomal RNA". Lineage: Bacteria; Pseudomonadati; Pseudomonadota; Gammaproteobacteria; Enterobacterales; Enterobacteriaceae. The record is from RNAcentral.